Non-coding RNA from Podarcis lilfordi (Lilford's wall lizard), 73 nucleotides. The record is from the annotation of a GenBank genome assembly. Lineage: Eukaryota; Metazoa; Chordata; Lepidosauria; Squamata; Lacertidae.
GCUGGGAUAGUUCGGUCUGUAAAGCAUGAGACUCUUAAUCUCAGGGACGUCGGAUCAAACCCCAUGUCGGGCA